GGCAUCGAGCGACUUGUGAGCCGCACCCCACGCGAUGGAUGGAAACUGCCAUCAUGUAGAUGUGAAGUAAUUACUGAGCUCUGAAGAGAGUGUUUGAGGCUGGCUACUCUCCUCAAGAGAAAAAAGGAUAAAGAGAAUGAUUCUCCUAGAAGAAAAUGUAAUUUGAAAGAUACCAGGGACACUGGGCUCUAUUCUGCAUAAGCUGUAGCAGGAUAAAGUUUCAUAAGUUGCUUGUCUCCAGGAGCAGUGCUUUUUAACUGAGUGAUUUGCUCAGUGCUGUGCAUAAUCCUGCAAGACUUAAGGAAAACACCCUGGCAGGAUGGAGUGCCAUAAAGCUGGAGAAGAACCAGAGAAAAGCUGUAUUUGUUACAGCUAAAAGAAGCCUUCAGGAGCUCCCCUACAGCUUUCCUUUGAUUAUAGGAUACAUUUCAAGUGCAAU
This 439-nucleotide long non-coding RNA is filed under the name Cyanistes caeruleus (blue tit). RNAcentral's name for it is "lncRNA (ENSCCEG00000023729.1)". Lineage: Eukaryota; Metazoa; Chordata; Aves; Passeriformes; Paridae. The record is from RNAcentral.